AACAUGCAAGUCGAACGGCAGCACGGGAGCAAUCCUGGUGGCGAGUGGCGAACGGGUGAGUAAUAUAUCGGAACGUGCCCAGUCGUGGGGGAUAACGUAGAGAAAUUUACGCUAAUACCGCAUACGAUCUAAGGAUGAAAGCGGGGGACCGUAAGGCCUCGCGCGAUUGGAGCGGCUGAUAUCAGAUUAGGUUGUUGGUGAGGUAAAAGCUCACCAAGCCGACGAUCUGUAGCUGGUUUGAGAGAACGACCAGCCACACUGGGACUGAGACACGGCCCAGACUCCUACGGGAGGCAGCAGUGGGGAAUUUUGGACAAUGGGCGAAAGCCUGAUCCAGCAAUGCCGCGUGCAGGAAGAAGGCCUUCGGGUUGUAAACUGCUUUUGUACGGAACGAAAAGGUCUGCCCUAAUACGGCGGGCCCAUGACGGUACCGUAAGAAUAAGCACCGGCUAACUACGUGCCAGCAGCCGCGGUAAUACGUAGGGUGCGAGCGUUAAUCGGAAUUACUGGGCGUAAAGCGUGCGCAGGCGGUGAUGUAAGACAGUUGUGAAAUCCCCGGGCUCAACCUGGGAAUUGCAUCUGUGACUGCAUCGCUAGAGUACGGUAGAGGGGGAUGGAAUUCCGCGUGUAGCAGUGAAAUGCGUAGAUAUGCGGAGGAACACCGAUGGCGAAGGCAAUCCCCUGGACCUGUACUGACGCUCAUGCACGAAAGCGUGGGGAGCAAACA
This 727-nucleotide ribosomal RNA is filed under the name Polaromonas sp. MJ_9_2. Its description in RNAcentral is "bacterial SSU rRNA". It matches the Rfam family "Bacterial small subunit ribosomal RNA", at positions 52 to 774 of the family's 1533-position model. The record is from RNAcentral. Lineage: Bacteria; Pseudomonadati; Pseudomonadota; Betaproteobacteria; Burkholderiales; Comamonadaceae.